Molecule: ribosomal RNA, 440 nt
Filed under: uncultured bacterium
Lineage: Bacteria
Description: partial 16S ribosomal RNA
Rfam family: Bacterial small subunit ribosomal RNA
Source: RNAcentral
CCUACGGGAGGCAGCAGUAGGGAAUAUUGCUCAAUGGGGGAAACCCUGAAGCAGCAACGCCGCGUGGAGGAUGAAGGUUUUCGGAUUGGAAACUCCUUUUGUUAGAGAAGAUAAUGACGGUAUCUAAAGAAUAAGCAACGGCUAACUCCGUGCCAGCAGCCGCGGUAAUACGGAGGGUGGAAGCGUUACUCGGAACCACUGGGCGUAAAGAGCGCGUAGGCGGGAUAGCAAGUCAGAUGUGAAAUCCUAUGGCUUAACCAUAGAACUGCAUUUGAAACUGUUAUUCUAGAGUAUGGGAGAGGUAGGUGGAAUUCUUGGUGUAGGGGUAAAAUCCGUAGAGAUCAAGAGGAAUACUCAUUGCGAAGGCGACCUGCUAGAACAUAACUGACGCUGAUGCGCGAAAGCGUGGGGAGCAAACAGGAUUAGAUACCCUGGUAGUC